GAUUCCCUGGUUACUAUCUCUAAGCACUGAAGUCGGUGUUUGGAGAAAGGGACUCAGGCUUAUCAAAGUUUUGGCUUUGUUGCAAGAGCAGGUCAAGAUUUAGCUGUUCUUCAGUGAACAAGUGUGCAGAUUGUCAAAUAUGUCAGUUCAUCAAAUAAGAAAACAUGCAGUUCUCCCACCUAUCAUUUGUGGAAGUGACAAGGAAUUUUUGGAAAGUGUGCAAAGAUACAUAAUUACAGAAACUGAAAGACUGGGCUGUAGUGAGGAAGGACCUGCUGAUGAAUAUUACAUCAUAUACCGAAAUGUUUUUGAUAAGGCACCCACUGUUUCUGUUUUCUUCUGUUAUCCUUCCAGAGAUUUUCUAUGCCUAAACACCAUUUGAAGCCAUGAAUGUGUAGUGAUGAGGGGUUUUUUACAGUUGCACAUGACAUCCUGGGAAUAGAAAUGCAAUUAGAUAUUGAGAAUAUUGAUGAGCCAAUAGGAGCUGAUGGGUUAGAAAAAUAAGGAGGUGAAGAGAAUCCAGGAUUUUAAGGUUUAAAUGAAGUUAGAGACUAGAUUUGGAGCGAGUAAGAAAAG
RNAcentral lists this small RNA (576 nucleotides) under Pan troglodytes (chimpanzee). RNAcentral describes it as "processed transcript". The record is from RNAcentral. Lineage: Eukaryota; Metazoa; Chordata; Mammalia; Primates; Hominidae.